GAGAGAAGCUUGCUUCUCUUGAGAGCGGCGGACGGGUGAGUAAUGCCUAGGAAUCUGCCUGGUAGUGGGGGAUAACGUUCGGAAACGAACGCUAAUACCGCAUACGUCCUACGGGAGAAAGCAGGGGACCUUCGGGCCUUGCGCUAUCAGAUGAGCCUAGGUCGGAUUAGCUAGUUGGUGAGGUAAUGGCUCACCAAGGCGACGAUCCGUAACUGGUCUGAGAGGAUGAUCAGUCACACUGGAACUGAGACACGGUCCAGACUCCUACGGGAGGCAGCAGUGGGGAAUAUUGGACAAUGGGCGAAAGCCUGAUCCAGCCAUGCCGCGUGUGUGAAGAAGGUCUUCGGAUUGUAAAGCACUUUAAGUUGGGAGGAAGGGCAGUUACCUAAUACGUGAUUGUUUUGACGUUACCGACCGAAUAAGCACCGGCUAACUCUGUGCCACCAGCCGCGGUAAUACAGAGGGUGCCAGCGUUAAUCGGAAUUACUGGGCGU
Molecule: ribosomal RNA, 494 nt
Filed under: Pseudomonas sp. So7
Lineage: Bacteria; Pseudomonadati; Pseudomonadota; Gammaproteobacteria; Pseudomonadales; Pseudomonadaceae
Description: bacterial SSU rRNA
Rfam family: Bacterial small subunit ribosomal RNA
Source: RNAcentral